Molecule: ribosomal RNA, 497 nt
Filed under: uncultured bacterium
Lineage: Bacteria
Description: partial 16S ribosomal RNA
Rfam family: Bacterial small subunit ribosomal RNA
Source: RNAcentral
GAUGAACGCUGGCGGCGUGCUUAAUACAUGCAAGUCGAGCGAACGGACGAGAAGCUUGCUUCUUUGUUGUUAGCGGCGGACGGGUGAGUAACACGUGGAUAAUCUACCUAUCAGACUGGGAUAAUUUCGGGAAACCGGCGCUUAUCCCGGAUAAUAUUUUGAUCCGCAGGGUUCAAUAGUGAAAGACGGUCUUGCUGUCUCUAAUAGAUGGAUCUCCGCUGCAUUAGCUAGUUGGUAAGGUAACGGCUUACCAAGGCGACGAUGCGUAGCCGACCUGAGAGAGUGAUAGCCCACCCGGGAGGUGAGACACGGUCCUGGCUCCUACGGGAGGCAGCAGUAGGGAAUGGUCCGCAAUGGGCGGAAGCCUGACGGAGCAGCGCCGCGUGAGUGAUGGAGGUCUUCGGAUCGUAAAACUCUGUUAUUAGGGAUGAACAGAUGUGUAAGUAGCUGUGCACAGCGUGACGGUACCGAAUCAGAAAGCCACGGCUAACUACGUG